Molecule: ribosomal RNA, 447 nt
Filed under: Levinsenia kosswigi
Lineage: Eukaryota; Metazoa; Annelida; Polychaeta; Paraonidae
Description: partial large subunit ribosomal RNA
Rfam family: Bacterial large subunit ribosomal RNA
Source: RNAcentral
CGGCCGCGGUACCCUGACCGUGCUAAGGUAGCAUAAUCACCAGCCUCUUAAUUAGUGGCCCGUAUGAAUGGACAAACGAAAAUAUACCUGUCUCUAUAUAGCCUAUAAAACUUUAUCUUCAGGUGAAAAAGCCUGAAUAUCUCUAAAAGACAAAAAGACCCUGCAGAACCUAACUCAACCCUGUGGCAUUACAACUAUCAACCCGCACCACAAAGUUUAGAUGGGGCAUCUAAGGGGAACCAAAAAUACCCUUUCUUCACAAACUAAAACCCUCCUGACCCAUAAAUUAUGACCAAAGACAUAGGCUACCUCAGGGAUAACAGACUAAUCUUCCUUAAGAGCCCAAAUCGACAGGAAGGCUUGGCACCUCGAUGUUGGCUUAGGAGCCCCUGGGAGUGCAGCAGCCCCCAAGGCAGGUUUGUUCAACCUUCAAUAUCCUACGUGAUC